Molecule: long non-coding RNA, 847 nt
Organism: Hyla sarda
Lineage: Eukaryota; Metazoa; Chordata; Amphibia; Anura; Hylidae
Exons: 4
Source: RefSeq, a predicted model, not a curated record
GGACAGCUUCAAAGAAGACAGAGGGGGUGACAGGCGCUAAAGGGUUCAGGCCAGGAUAAGAUGAACAAGGAGAUCUUUAUUGGACCAGUAUGCAACACGUUUCCCGGACAUUUUUGGAGCGAUUGGCAAUUCAUCUAUUAUAUCAAGCUAUAUAUUCCAUUUUACUUCCUGCCUGCAUCAAUGCUGUAUUCCUGAGAGCACAUUUAUGUAACAGUACCAUACGUUUUCAGCAGAUGGCGCUGGAAAUACAAUAAUUUAUCCAGACCCAAGCACCGGCCUGACUGCAGAUUUAAUGACUCGGACUGACACCUGCGAGUUUGUUCAAAUCAACAUGCCUGCAAUCAAAGGUAAACAACUUCUUUGCUAGGUCUUGCAAAGGUUUGUGUCUUGUCCUCCUUGAUGAUUCACGAAGGCUACUGUGGUGUUGUCCGAAUAAAUUUUCGUGUGUUGCCUUUGAACAAGGGUUUCUGCCGCCUUCAAUGCCAUAAGAACUGCUUUUCUCACCAGAUCCCCUGGAACGAGUGACUGCUCACCUGGGCACCCCAGCCUUUCAGACUGGCAUCUAUAGUGAUGGAGAUCAUUGGGGUAGGAAUCCAAGAGACCACUUUUGUCAGAUUCUCUGAUUACAACCACAACAGAAGAGACUUCUUUGCUAGGUGAGAGCAUCAUCUUUUCUAUAGAGAAAUGACAGCAAUCCCAUACUUUCAAGAUUUCAUUUUGAAGAAUACAGGUAUGAUUUUGGCUCCAUGGUACUGUCGGAAUACAAAAACUUCAUGGAACCCAAAAGGGACAUUGCUUCCCUUAUGGUGAAAACCUUCUUUUGAUGAAUUGAUGAGACCUUGUCUAU